Long non-coding RNA from Lucilia cuprina (Australian sheep blowfly), 1031 nucleotides. RefSeq lists it as uncharacterized. NCBI's taxonomy places the organism in Eukaryota, Metazoa, Arthropoda, Insecta, Diptera, Calliphoridae. The transcript is spliced from 2 exons. The record is from RefSeq and is a predicted model, not a curated record.
GUGUUGCUGAGUCUUUUACUUAUGUUUGUAGAUAAAGUUGUAGACUAGAUUUAAUGUAUCAGAAGUUAAGGUGUUGUUGAUAGUGUUGCUGACUUUUAGUCUAACUAGCUAACAGUUAGUCAGUCAGUGAGAAUAACUAGUCCGUAGGUCUGCGGCAAAAGCAGCAUGAUACAACACAUGUUUAAUUCUAUUAACAUAAUUUAACAAUUUGAAAUCUUACAAAAAAUUUAUUUAUUUAUGGUGUUGCUUGUUUUGGUGCUAAAGCUGACUGCCUCUACUUCUAAGUUGUAAACCAUUGUUGUUGAGGUUUGUUUUUGUUGUAGUUGGUUUAAAUAUUGGUAACGUUAAAGGUAACAUCAACACCACCAACGCCAACAACAGCAGCAACAACUGCGUGAACACUCCAAAAAAUAUAAAAAAAAUAAACUGAAAUUAUUACCAACCAACGAAUGGAAACCAAAAUCAUCACAAGCAGAAAAUCAUCGCGUUUCUAGUUUUUUUUACAGUUCGAAACACUUUUAUUUUUCAGUUGAGUGACAAACGGGCAACCGUCUAGUUCACAACGUGUUUUUAUUGUAUUUUUUCGAUUUUCUACUCUUUUUUUCACAUAUAUUUACGUUUAAUCAAAAAAUAUCGAAGAAAAGAAUGUGACCGUGUUAUCGUCAUCGCCGUCGUCGAUGGGAAAUAAAUUUGUUUAAUUUUUGAAAAUAUCAAUUUAAUUGAAUGAAUGCACUAGAAAACGUUUAAUUGAUAUGAAUGAUAACUACUAAAUCAACAGAAUAAAAAACUGAUUGUAACAGAACAAGAGUGUAAAGAAGGAAAAUAUGUAUAUAAAAUAAUAAUAAUUUCUGUGCAAAUACUUCCAUACAACAAUAGUGGUGGCUAGAGAAAUAAGUACACUAAAAUAUCUCCAGUGUUUAAAAAAUAGAAAAAAUAAAUGAAAGUGCGUUAAGUUAAUAAAAAGUAAGAAAGCGUCGUAGGCGAAACCGGACUACAUAAUACCCUUCAUCGAUGUAGUGCAAUUUUCGAAA